AGCAGCCGCGGUAAGACGAAGGAUGCAAGCGUUAUCCGGAAUUACUGGGCGUAAAGGGCGUCUAGGCGGUUGGAUAAGUCAUUUGUGAAANNNAGGGCUCAACCCUGGAAGGUCUUGUGAUACUGUCCGGCUUGGGUGUAGGAGAGGAGAGCGGAACUCACAGAGUAGCGGUGGAAUGCGUAGAUACUGUGAGGUACCCCGAUGGCGAAGGCAGCUCUCUGGCCUACUACCGACGCUGAGGCGCGAAAGCGUGGGGAGCAAAGGGGAUUAGAUACCCCCGUAGUCCACGCCCUAAACGAUGUUCACUUGGUGUCGGGAGCCUAUAUUUCUCGGUGCCGGAGCUAACGCGUUAAGUGAACCGCCUGAGGAGUACGGUCGCAAGGCUAAAACUCAAGAGAAUUGACGGGUCCCCGCACAAGCGGUGGAGCACGUGGUUUAAUUCGAUGAUAAGCGAAGAACCUCACCUGGGCUUGACAUACUAGUGGUAGGAACUGGAAACAGGGACGACCCUUCCUUCGGGUUGGGAGCUAGUACAGGUGAUGCAUGGCUGUCGUCAGCUCGUGUCGUGGGAUGUAGGGUUAAGUCCCGAAACGAGCGCAACCCUUGUCGUUAGUUGCCAGCGGGUAAUGCCGGGGACUCUAGCGAGACUGCUGGUGAAUAGCCGGAGGAAGGCGGGGAUGACGUCAAGUCAUCAUGUCCCUUAUGCCCAGGGCGACACACAUGCUACAAUGGGAGGUACAGAGGGUCGCAAUACCGCAAGGUGGAGCCAAUCUCAAAAAACCUCCCCCAGUUCGGAUUGUGGUCUGCAACUCGACCACAUGAAGCCGGAAUCGCUAGUAAUCGCGGGUCAGCCAUACCGCGGUGAACAUGUACUCGGGGAUUGCACACACCGCCCGU
RNAcentral lists this ribosomal RNA (897 nucleotides) under uncultured bacterium. Its description in RNAcentral is "bacterial SSU rRNA". It matches the Rfam family "Bacterial small subunit ribosomal RNA", at positions 510 to 1397 of the family's 1533-position model. The record is from RNAcentral.